GUUGCCCCAGAAUAGAUGGAUCUGGGAUUUCAUUAGUGCUGCUUGCUCUGCAGCCUCAUUUACUGAAACCUCAAGCUGACCACCUAUUCCUUGAAUUUCACUGUCUGCAUUGCCUGCCUGUUUCUUCCGUCGCUUCAGUAAUUCUUCCCUCUUGCUUGCAGUUGGAUCUUUUAGCUCAUUUGCCCUCUGCUCCUCCAACUUUUCCCA
Molecule: unclassified non-coding RNA, 207 nt
Filed under: Hevea brasiliensis (rubber tree)
Lineage: Eukaryota; Viridiplantae; Streptophyta; Magnoliopsida; Malpighiales; Euphorbiaceae
Source: RNAcentral